AUGGUUCGAUCUCAGCCAGGUGCUCUGAAGUACAAGAGCAAGCUCGGCUUUGAAGGCCUCCCAAACCAGGCCUGGACGACGGCGUCCGUGAAAGAUGUUCUCAAGCAGCUGGGUGGCGAGCUGAUCGAGAUCCUGCCGCCGGCAAGCCGCCGCGAGCUUGAGGUCAUGGCGUGGCUUCGUGACCCUUCCUUUGUUGGCAAGGUGGUGACAGUGGAGAUACCUGAGCCGAAGCUGACAAACAAGCCACCCGAGUCCAUGGAUGAGUAUGAAGCAAUGCAAUUCGAAUUGGGUGAAUACGGACCGUCGUCGCCGAGGAAGAAGAACAGCUUACUGUAUCCUGACAUUUGCCACAUGAAGGAGGUUGUUGAUCGUGGUCCUCUGCUUGUUGAAGGACUGCCUGAUGAGUGA
RNAcentral lists this ribosomal RNA (408 nucleotides) under Triticum aestivum (bread wheat). RNAcentral describes it as "partial small subunit ribosomal RNA". The record is from RNAcentral. Lineage: Eukaryota; Viridiplantae; Streptophyta; Magnoliopsida; Poales; Poaceae.